Molecule: ribosomal RNA, 254 nt
Filed under: uncultured bacterium
Lineage: Bacteria
Description: partial 16S ribosomal RNA
Rfam family: Bacterial small subunit ribosomal RNA
Source: RNAcentral
GACGAACCGUGCGAACGUUAUUCGGAAUCACUGGGCUUAAAGCGCGUGUAGGCGGAUGGGCACGUCGGUAGUUGAAAGCCCCCGGCUCAACCGGGGAAGUGGUGCCGAAACGACCCGUCUGGAGGGACGUAGGGGGACCUGGAACUUCCGGUGGAGCGGUGAAAUGCGUUGAGAUCGGAAGGAACGCCCGUGGCGAAAGCGAGGUCCUGGACGUCUACUGACGCUGAGACGCGAAAGCUAGGGGAGCAAACGGG